GACGAACGCUGGCGGCGUGCUUAACACAUGCAAGUCGAACGGAAAGGCCCUGCUUGCAGGGUACUCGAGUGGCGAACGGGUGAGUAACACGUGGGUGAUCUGCCCUGCACUUCGGGAUAAGCCUGGGAAACUGGGUCUAAUACCGGAUAGGAGCCAUUUUUAGUGUGAUGGUUGGAAAGUUUUUUCGGUGUAGGAUGAGCUCGCGGCCUAUCAGCUUGUUGGUGGGGUAAUGGCCUACCAAGGCGGCGACGGGUAGCCGGACUGAGGGGGUGGACGGCCACAUUGGGACUGAGGUACGGCCCAGACUCCUACGGGAGGCAGCAGUGGGGAAUAUUGCCCAAUGGGCGCAAGCCUGAUGCAGCGACGCCGCGUGGGGGAUGACGGCCUUAGGGUUGUAAACUCCUUUCGCUAGGGACGAAGCUUUUUGUGACGGUACCUAGAGAAGAAGCACCGGCUAACUACGUG
This 465-nucleotide ribosomal RNA is filed under the name uncultured bacterium. RNAcentral describes it as "partial 16S ribosomal RNA". It matches the Rfam family "Bacterial small subunit ribosomal RNA", at positions 28 to 507 of the family's 1533-position model. The record is from RNAcentral.